RNAcentral lists this ribosomal RNA (256 nucleotides) under uncultured bacterium. Its description in RNAcentral is "partial 16S ribosomal RNA". It matches the Rfam family "Bacterial small subunit ribosomal RNA", at positions 524 to 775 of the family's 1533-position model. The record is from RNAcentral.
UACGUAGGGUGCAAGCGUUGUCCGGAAUUAUUGGGCGUAAAGAGCUCGUAGGCGGUCUGUCGCGUCUGCUGUGAAAACUCGGGGCUUAACCCCGGGCCUGCAGUGGGUACGGGCAGACUAGAGUGCGGUAGGGGAGACUGGAAUUCCGUGGUGUAGCGGUGAAAUGCGCAGAUAUCAGGAGGAACACCGGUGGCGAAGGCGGGGUCUCUGGGCCGUAACUGACGCUGGAGGAGCGAAAAGCGUGGGGAGCAACAGG